CGUACGAAUACCGACCGUUUCCUUCAGCGAGAGAGAUAAAAUAAUAAACGCCGAAUAAACAGAGGACAUAUGAAAGUGUAGCCUUCAUGAGGAGGACCAGUGUAAUAUGGAGUCUUGGAGUCUUGCCCAAGGACUCUUAUUGGGGUAGUGCAGAAUUCAGUCACCCAGACCAGGAACUAAACCCUAGUCUCUCACAUCAUGUGGCUGCUCACUGCGACCAAUGAAAUGCACUGUGAGAUCUGAAGUCAAGUUUCUUGUGGAUUUGCAGCCAGAGAUUAUGCAGUAGAGACCAGAAGAGGAGGAGCCAGACCCACCUUCUUAUUUGGAAGACCUGCCCCUCUCUCCCAGACCAGGCGUCUCAGACUUCCUUUAUUGAGUUUUCAAGCACAGUAAAAAGCAGAGUGGGUUUCUUCACUAACAACUCAGUUUGUCAGGUCAAAGUUGUUGCAAUACAUGCAGCUCACAGCAAACAGCACAAAGGAACAUGGGGGAAAAAAAACAUUUUCGUCAGCAUCUGCGGCAACAUCUCAGGCCUUCUCCGGUCAGCUAAUAAUGGUCACUCAAUCAGGUCACAAGACAGACAUGUUCUUCACCAAAGAUCUUCCCUUAAUGAAUCCCUUCUAAAGUCGCUCUCUCGCUCGCUCUCUCGCUCUCUGGACCAGCGUCGAUUGGUGGGCUGAUGGCUCCUCAUUAGCCUCGCCGUGCAGGAAAUGGAGGGUGGGCGGCAAUCAGACUCUGCCAGUGGUGGGAGACCCACCCACACGAGCAGCUCCACUAGAGGCCCGGAGAUGUGAUUACAGCUCAUUACCGUGGUGCGUGCGCAGGAGGUGGGAGGGACACCGGUCAUUAUGGCGCUCAGAUGUAGGCGGUGCCCCGAAACACACAGGAAGCUGUGGGCAGCGCAUACGCCUAAGCUGCAACCCUGGAGUCCUUCAGGAGGCAUAUUGAAUGUGGAGCUCCACUCCAGGGAGCUGGCAGUGCAUAAUUACUUGGACUCGCAACACAGAGCUUGGUGCACAGAGCGGUGGCACUUCGCCUUUGACUGGGUUAUUAGAGGACUCUCAUUCUAAUAUCAGCCGUGGCCUCCGAGCACCUACACAUUAAACCACGGACUAAUCCAGCGCUCACAAGAUUAGAGCAUUGUUUCCAGUACUGUGAGGCAGUGUGAGAAGACAAGACAGGAGCUGCCAAGAUUAAAGCUCAGGUUAUAGUUCAGAUAAAGCACAUUGGUCAAAUUUACUGAUAUGGAUAAAUUACAAAUAUUAAACUAAUGAAGAUUU
Astyanax mexicanus (Mexican tetra) is the source of this 1280-nucleotide long non-coding RNA. RefSeq lists it as uncharacterized. The record is from RefSeq and is a predicted model, not a curated record. Lineage: Eukaryota; Metazoa; Chordata; Actinopteri; Characiformes; Acestrorhamphidae. The transcript has 5 exons.